Molecule: long non-coding RNA, 384 nt
Filed under: Brassica rapa (field mustard)
Lineage: Eukaryota; Viridiplantae; Streptophyta; Magnoliopsida; Brassicales; Brassicaceae
Description: long non-coding RNA (BRAP_LNC007201)
Source: RNAcentral
CGUUUAUAAAAAAAAUAAAAUAAACUAAUAACAAUAUGAACAUUUUCAAAUGUAGCUUAAUUAUUUAGAUAUGGUUUUCGUGAACUCUGAUCUGAUGUAAAGACACGUUACUUCAUGUCGUACCAUACGAACCAAAGUCUCGAUAAUUGCCACACACAUUAUUUGGAUCCCGACCGUCAAAACUCAAAAGCAUUGGUUAGUUGAUGAUGUCUUUCUCCAAACCCAUUCAUAUCUAGUAUGAAAAGUAGUUCCUUAUGUAUCUGUACGUUUUCAAAACAUAAAUCAUGAUUAUGCGCGUAAUCAAGUAAUCAAUGUACGCAAAACAAAGAGUAAAUGGCUAAACCAAAUGAAACAAAGCACUCUUAUGGCAUCCACGGACCGUUG